Molecule: unclassified non-coding RNA, 324 nt
Filed under: air metagenome
Description: partial contains small subunit ribosomal RNA, internal transcribed spacer 1, and 5.8S ribosomal RNA
Rfam family: Eukaryotic small subunit ribosomal RNA (bases 1-46)
Source: RNAcentral
AAGUCGUAACAAGGUUUCCGUAGGUGAACCUGCGGAAGGAUCAUUAAUGAAUAAACUUGGUGGAUUGUCGCUGGCUUCUUAGGGAGCAUGUGCACGUCUGUCAUAUUUAUGUUUCCACCUGUGCACCUUCUGUAGACCUGGACACACCCAACUUCUCUGAGGCAGCUCAGGCAUGAGGAUUGCAGGCAUUACAUGUCAGCUUUCCUUGAAGUAUCCAGGCCUAUGUAUUUUCACAUACACCUAAUUAAUGUAUCAGAAUGUCAAUGAAAGGUCUUUGUACCUAUAACAAUUAUACAACUUUCAGCAACGGAUCUCUUGGCUCUC